Molecule: ribosomal RNA, 495 nt
Filed under: uncultured bacterium
Lineage: Bacteria
Description: partial 16S ribosomal RNA
Rfam family: Bacterial small subunit ribosomal RNA
Source: RNAcentral
UGAACGCUGGCGGCGUGCCUAAUACAUGCAAGUCGAGCGAACAGACGAGGAGCUUGCUCCUCUGACGUUAGCGGCGGACGGGUGAGUAACACGUGGAUAACCUACCUAUAAGACUGGGAUAACUUCGGGAAACCGGAGCUAAUACCGGAUAAUAUAUUGAACCGCAUGGUUCAAUAGCGAAAGACGGUUUUGCUGUCACUUAUAGAUGGAUCCGCGCCGCAUUAGCUAGUUGGUAAGGUAACGGCUUACCAAGGCAACGAUGCGUAGCCGACCUGAGAGGGUGAUCGGCCACACUGGAACUGAGACACGGUCCAGACUCCUACGGGAGGCAGCAGUAGGGAAUCUUCCGCAAUGGGCGAAAGCCUGACGGAGCAACGCCGCGUGAGUGAUGAAGGUCUUCGGAUCGUAAAACUCUGUUAUUAGGGAAGAACAAAUGUGUAAGUAACUAUGCACGUCUUGACGGUACCUAAUCAGAAAGCCACGGCUAACUACGUG